UAGUCCCUGACCGAUCCCAAUUACAAUGUCCCUUGCAAGAUUUUCCUAAUGAAGAUUCUCAGGAUUACAGAUCCUCUAGCAAGGAGACCACACAGAUAGAGAUGACCAGAGCAGAGGAUAUACAGCCCCCCCCCCCCCAAAAAAAAAAAA
Molecule: long non-coding RNA, 150 nt
Organism: Saccostrea cuccullata (small rock oyster)
Lineage: Eukaryota; Metazoa; Mollusca; Bivalvia; Ostreida; Ostreidae
Exons: 3
Source: RefSeq, a predicted model, not a curated record